This is a long non-coding RNA of Melospiza melodia melodia, 4266 nucleotides long. RefSeq lists it as uncharacterized. NCBI's taxonomy places the organism in Eukaryota, Metazoa, Chordata, Aves, Passeriformes, Passerellidae. The record is from RefSeq and is a predicted model, not a curated record. The transcript has 6 exons.
GUGGGAUCAGCUGUUUUUUGAAGAUAAUUUGUUGUUGUGAGAGACCUCACAUAGUCCCCAAGGCUGCAUUUUCCAUUCCAGUCUCACCGUGGAGUAUUGGUUGCAGCAGGACUGUUAAUCACUGCUAAUUGUGAGGACAGCACUGCGGCAGGAACAACUGUCCCCAGUGAAGCCAGCUGAACCAGUCUUCAGUGCCAGAAAUGCAGUAUCAGCAAUGACAGCAAGGCCCCAGGCACUAGCAGAAGGAGUAUUGGUGGCUUGGCAGGAUUGAAAUCGCUGCAGAAACAUGUGGGGCAGACAAGGUCUGCUGUGGUCCCUCGCUCUCCUACUCUUCCAUGAGGACAAGUUUCCAUAUCCCUGAAGACUGGUGAUAGGGGAAGAAAAGUGCAUACAGCAGGACAAGAGAAGAAAGAUGAGCUAUCUGCUGCACAAAGCCAGAACGGCCGGCUGGAGCUGGAGAGACACACAAGUGUGGCACACACAGCAAUCCUCCUUACGGGCCAGUUCAGUCCUGCUCCCUUCUACCCAGCUGGGCUCGUGGAUCCCUGCAAAGGGAAAAACUCAGGCUGGAUUGCACAGCAAGAGAAGAGAGUGAACAACAGGACACGUUCCUUCCUUCACGACUUCUUGUUUUGCACAGAUGAUCUCAAAGGACAAACCCAACUCCCUCGGUACAAUUCACAUUCAAGCAAAUAUUAUGGAAACCAAACACAGCCUCUAGAAUAUUAUUCUGGUUUCACAUAUCAACAAUGAAGACACAAGGGACUACAUAGAAAACUUCCUGUGGGAUCUAGUGAGCCCUGCAUCUUCCUCAACUGAGUUAGACUGCAUUUUCAGUGUAGUAACCCUUUAUGGUUACUUACUGUAACAUCUCUGGUGCUUCUCCUUCCCAAGAAACCACUAAGCAACAAAGUUCACAGCAAUCCUCCAGGUUUACAAGGAGUUUUUUCAUUUGAACACAGCAUGCUCCCUUUGUUUACCUGCUGUUUGGUCUCAUGAUGCAACCCAACAUUCUCUAAUCAGUUCAGAGCACUUGUAACACAGCCAGAGGCUUUGUCACCCACCGGAAACUGCGGGCUUAACAAACUUAUGCAGCCAGACAUCAUCGGUGAGUUAUUCUUGUGCAAAAUUAAUAAAAAAAUAAUUAAUAAAACAAAACCCCCAACACAUGGACCAGGUUGCAGCCUUCUCCCUUCCACAUCUUUCUGGCUAAAAAUCCAGAGAGGGAGGCCAGGGCCCUGCAGCUGGUUAUGGAAAGGGCUGAGCAUCCGGCAAGGGAGCACAGCUGCUGGCCACAUGACACACGCCCCGGUACCAGCGACGCACGGCGCUUGCUCGUGGGCAAAUCCGCUCCCACCACAGAGCAUCCUGGGAUUAUUUGCCACUUUGUGCUUUCUCCCACUGCCCCCCCAGAGGAUUUGGGACUAAACAUGGGGAAAAAAAGGCACUAAUCAUGAAUAAUGCAGUUCCAGUUACAGUGCUUGAAAUGUUCAGCUCAAAAAUGCGUGCUCGCUGUUUCCUUCUACUGGCUGCUUAGGCAGGCCUGUGGAUGUCACUGCAUGGACACACCUGGAGUGGAUGUGAUCAGCACAUGUAUAAAGAUCAGAAUUAACCCCAAAUUCCUCUGCUUUCAAGGAACUGUUUAGUUUAAUGAUUAAAACCUCAUGAGUGCCUGGAUUGUGUGAACACCUGUCAGUGCUCUUUGGAAGAAAAGGUAUUUGCUUGCUUAUUUAUUUGAAAACUGAAGCUAUAUACUAGUCAAAGGAAUUUUAUUUGGCUUUUAAAACAGAAUUGAGAUGGCAGUUUCAGCUGAAAAGUGAAGCUUCAGUGCAAAGCCAGCACACAAAGUUCCAACACCCAGCUUUCGUUCCUGUGAGCACUGACUUUGCUGCAGGGGGGCAGUUUGAACUGAGCUCUGCACCUUUAAAUUUCUUACCCCUCUGCUUUUGUGGGUAGCUGUACUAGGACCCCCACACCCUUGCAGACUUAGGAAGCCUGUACACUUAAACUGUAGAAAAAAAGAGAAUUGGGAUUUUAAGCAUUGGAGCCUGCCCUCCCAACCACAUCUCUUCCCUUACACAGCCCAUCUGCAUUACCUUUUGCACAAAUGUGGAUUAUUCAGUAAUUAAAAAAGCAUUCCCCAAAAGCUCAUCAAUGGUGACAUCCUUCCUACCUAAAGCUCAUUUGGACUCUGGAUCUAAUUUUCAAAAAAGUCAAGAGCUGUUUUCAAAUGGGCAAGAAAAGUCCAUUUCCUCAGCUCUCUCCAACAUUUGCAUCCCUGCUUGGAAAAUAAAUAAUUAAGUUGUGACAUGGCAAAGAACAAGCCAGGAAAACAUCAGCCCAAAAGAGGCAAGUUUUGGAGAGCUGCAAACAAAGGAUUACAAUGGGAAUGCUUAUAUAAUCUUAAUUACAGAGGAUGCUUCUUCCAUAACCACAAUGGCAUACACAUGGCCUACAACUGCACAUGCUGGAGAGAACAGUAGUUAUUCCACUGGCUUCUCCCUGUGCUUACCACAGUUAACAGGGCAAAGGAAAUUCAUUUCCAUGCCCUUCCCCCAAAAUGGAAAGGUUAACCAUAAUUCUGUGGCGAGAUGAAAGCGUUAUCACUACUCCAGAAGGAUAUCAAUCUAAAUAACCCUCACACUCAGUAAAUCAAUAGGAUUCUUCUGGUUGCAUCAGACCAGCCACACAGUGUUUGCAUAGGGAAACAAUCAAUAUGAAUGUCAUCCAAAUACGGAACUGACAACAGCAGGGAAUGUGAGCAAAGGGAGGAGAUGGGGGGAGGGAAAGGGGCUGAGCAAGAGGAGAAAAGAAAGCAUCGAAGGUGUCGGAGUCAGGAAAACCCUUCCGAGUUUUAGUGCCUCAGCAACCUCCAUUCAUAUCUUGAGAAAUGUCAGAAAUCAGGAAAUAUUACUUCGGGUUGCAUGCUUCUGUCCUGGCCUAUCAAAUGCACGGAGUAGUAACAGCAAAUUACUGGAAACUGCACUUUGAACUUAGCCACUGGCAAGGAUCCCAGUCAAACAGAAAUGUAAAAGUGCCUUUCCUCCAUGGGGCCUCCUGUGUGGGGGUGUCCCCAUAGACGUUCAAUAGCUGGUUGCAACAGGUUGGAAUGAGGCCCUGAGCCAGAAAAACAAGCCCUGACCAGUAUUAUUUCCUACUGCCUCGGUUGUUUAUUAAAAGAUAUUUUGACGCAUCACUCUCAGCUUUGUUGGGCUGCACUGGAGGCUCGAGGCCCAUCGAGGAAAAACUGGCACCAUUUUCACUAAGUGCUCACGCCUCCUUUUCUUCCAGCAUUCCUCCUCCUGCCUCCCCUUGUGCACGGCUAUAGGUGCAGCACAAAGAUACACUUAAAGAAGAAUUGGAAACAGGCAGACUGGUUGCUAAGCAAAGGCUCUGUAUUUCCUACAAAUAGAGAAGUAAUUAGAUUCAAAACCCUAUCAAUAUUCCUAGCAUAGGCAGAAGAAACAACAUUUUUCUGCACACCAGACUUUUAUAACAGGGUUUGAAAAGAAAAAAAAAAUCCAACCACACAGUGUUCAGGAACAGUAACUUAAUGUUAUUAACAACCCAGGGAGUGCCCAGUGAGUGCAGAAAGGCAUUGUAGCCUUCCCCCUUCCAGAGGUGAAAUGAUCAAAAGACUGGCCUCUUUACAGUCUGUUAUAUUUCUGUCUAAGAAAACCCAAUUUGCACAAGCAAAUAAACUAGCUCAUUAUAAAACUGAGGGGUCAGCCUGAGUCAGAUAAACUCUGAAGUCAGACAGCUGAAGAAACAAACUUUUAUUUAAGCCACAGCACAGGUGAUCCUAAGAGGAAACAGUAAAUCCCCAUAGAGCCACAACUUCCACAUUGGGCAACAGAGAGCACGAGGAAUGGAGGUGCAGGAGUGCAAUUUUCUAAGGCCACACGGCUCAGCACACAUUUAAUCAGAAACAACAGAUCCCGGCCUUGCAUUCAAAGGGGGGGAAAGCAAAUAGAAAAAUCAAACACUGUCGUCACAAUGCAGCGAGUCAAACAUUAUUGAAAUCAUAAGGACUAAUCAGUUUCUUGCCUUUUCUUUUUGUUUUUAAGAGACCAAAUUUUUUUCUUAUUCUUUCCCCUCCAGGGAACUAAAAACAAACAAACCCCCACCCCCUCCAACCCCCCAAAAAAUCCCCACCAAGCCAGUUCUUCUUUUGGAGAUUGCCUAGUUACCAAUACACCAUCAAGCACAGAUUCCAUUUUUCCCUUCCUGAUGAAAGGAAUUAAGCCUGACUGCAUCAGGACUAGU